RNAcentral lists this ribosomal RNA (251 nucleotides) under uncultured bacterium. RNAcentral describes it as "partial 16S ribosomal RNA". It matches the Rfam family "Bacterial small subunit ribosomal RNA", at positions 57 to 305 of the family's 1533-position model. The record is from RNAcentral.
GCACGUCGAGGGGUAACGAUAGUGCUUGCACUAGGCGACGACCGGCGCACGGGUGAGUAACGCGUAUGCAACCUACCUCAAACUGGAGGAUAGCCCAGGGAAACUUGGAUUAAUACUCCAUAGUAUAUAUCAUUCGCAUGUUUGAUAUAUUAAAGUUCCGGCGGUUUGAGAUGGGCAUGCGUGCCAUUAGAGAGUGGGUGAGGUAACGGCUCACCAAGUCUUCGAUGGCUACGGGGUCUUAAAGGAUGGGC